Molecule: ribosomal RNA, 467 nt
Filed under: uncultured bacterium
Lineage: Bacteria
Description: partial 16S ribosomal RNA
Rfam family: Bacterial small subunit ribosomal RNA
Source: RNAcentral
GACGAACGCUGGCGGCGUGCUUAACACAUGCAAGUCGAACGGAAAGGCCCUGCUUUUGUGGGGUGCUCGAGUGGCGAACGGGUGAGUAACACGUGAGUAACCUGCCCUUGACUUUGGGAUAACUUCAGGAAACUGGGGCUAAUACCGGAUAGGAGCUCCUGCUGCAUGGUGGGGGUUGGAAAGUUUCGGCGGUUGGGGAUGGACUCGCGGCUUAUCAGCUUGUUGGUGGGGUAGUGGCUUACCAAGGCUUUGACGGGUAGCCGGCCUGAGAGGGUGACCGGCCACAUUGGGAAUGAGAUACGGCCCAGACUCCUACGGGAGGCAGCAGUGGGGAAUAAUGCACAAUGGGCGGAAGCCUGAUGCAGCAACGCCGCGUGCGGGAUGACGGCCUUCGGGUUGUAAACCGCUUUCGCCUGUGACGAAGCGUGAGUGACGGUAAUGGGUAAAGAAGCACCGGCUAACUACGU